GGUCUCCCUCUGUGAGGCGAUCGAUUGCGGGACUCCGCGAUUGAUCGCCCAGCAGAGGGAGGCC
RNAcentral lists this microRNA precursor (64 nucleotides) under Myotis lucifugus (little brown bat). Its description in RNAcentral is "mir-9242 microRNA precursor family". It matches the Rfam family "mir-9242 microRNA precursor family". Lineage: Eukaryota; Metazoa; Chordata; Mammalia; Chiroptera; Vespertilionidae. The record is from Rfam by way of RNAcentral.